RNAcentral lists this ribosomal RNA (336 nucleotides) under uncultured bacterium. Its description in RNAcentral is "partial 16S ribosomal RNA". It matches the Rfam family "Bacterial small subunit ribosomal RNA", at positions 338 to 688 of the family's 1533-position model. The record is from RNAcentral.
CCUACGGGAAGCUGCAGUGGGGAAUAUUGCACAAUGGGCGAAAGCCUGAUGCAGCAACGCCGCGUGAAGGAAGAAGGGUUUCGGCUCGUAAACUUCUAUCAACAGGGACGUAAGAAAUGACGGUACCUGAGUAAGAAGCCCAGGCUAACGACGUGCCAGCAGCCGCGGGAAUACGUCGGGGGCAAGCGUUAUCCGGAAUUACUGGGGUGAAAGGGUGAGUAGGCGGCAUGGUAAGCCAGAUGUGAAAGCCUUGGGCUUAACCCGAGGAUUGCAUUUGGAACUGGCAAGCUAGAGUACAGGGGAGGAAAGCGGAAUUCCUGGUGUAGCGGUGAAAUG